This 74-nucleotide transfer RNA is filed under the name Candidatus Chryseopegocella kryptomonas. Its description in RNAcentral is "Candidatus Chrysopegis kryptomonas tRNA_Arg_CCG". It matches the Rfam family "tRNA". From Rfam's summary of the family: Transfer RNA (tRNA) molecules are approximately 80 nucleotides in length. Their secondary structure includes four short double-helical elements and three loops (D, anti-codon, and T loops). Further hydrogen bonds mediate the characteristic L-shaped molecular structure. tRNAs have two regions of fundamental functional importance: the anti-codon, which is responsible for specific mRNA codon recognition, and the 3' end, to which the tRNAs corresponding amino acid is attached (by aminoacyl-tRNA synthetases). tRNAs cope with the degeneracy of the genetic code in two manners: having more than one tRNA (with a specific anti-codon) for a particular amino acid; and 'wobble' base-pairing, i.e. permitting non-standard base-pairing at the 3rd anti-codon position. The record is from RNAcentral. Lineage: Bacteria; Pseudomonadati; Candidatus Kryptoniota. RNAcentral also lists the same sequence under 1 other name.
GCGCCUGUAGCUCAACUGGAUAGAGCGUGGGCCUCCGGAGCCCAAGGUUGCGGGUUCAAGUCCCGCCAGGCGCG